UGCUCCAUGAGCUAGAGCUGAAGUAAUAAGUUAUAUCCCUCAAAAUGUUUGGCCCCUUGCUGACACUUUUUUAAGGCUCGAUAUAUCUCAGCGACAGUCAUAGGCACUAUGCUGAAAGAUUGUCCACCAAUCUCUUCAAUCAGGGUCUUGGUUACCAUGGUCAGUUUGGUGUGGAUCCUAGCCUUCUUCAUAGGAAAGACUAUCAUCCCCAGAAAAUAAAACACGAAGACGAAAACCUUUCUGUGGAUAUACCCCAAAGAGGUGAGAGAAAAUUCGUCGGGGUAGGUGCGGUAUGACUUGCUAUGGUCGUACCUCUCGUACAAAUAGUCAAAUGAGAUGUAGGAGUCCUUCAGACAGAUCAAGUUUGGAUUCCUCUUUAG
Molecule: long non-coding RNA, 380 nt
Filed under: Nicotiana benthamiana
Lineage: Eukaryota; Viridiplantae; Streptophyta; Magnoliopsida; Solanales; Solanaceae
Description: long non-coding RNA (NBEN_LNC020710)
Source: RNAcentral